RNAcentral lists this long non-coding RNA (820 nucleotides) under Marmota monax (woodchuck). The record is from RNAcentral. Lineage: Eukaryota; Metazoa; Chordata; Mammalia; Rodentia; Sciuridae.
AAAAUAUUUAUUUAUUUUUUUUAGUUUUCCGCGAACACAACAUCUUUGUAUGUGGUGCUGAGAAUCGAACCCGGGCCGCACGCAUGCCAGGCAAGCGCGCUACCGAUUGAGCCACAUCCCCAGCCCAAAUCUGUAUUUCUUUGAAUAUUAGUGAGAUUCGCUAUUUCACUUGAUAUCUGGGUCUUUGUUAUUAACCAUUCAUAUGUUUAAUUAUUAGCUUUUCUCUCUAUUGUUCUGAAGAUCUCUAUAAGAGCCCUUAUGAAUUAUAUACCUAAAAGCCUGGUUGUUAUUGGAAAAUAUUUUUUUAUAUUUAAUGUAGUGAGGUCCAUUAAUCUUAUGGUUGGUCUUUGAAAAAAGCUUUCCUAAGAUUAGUUAAAUAUUUUUUAAAAUAUUAUUUUUUAGUUGUAGUUUGACACGAUACCUUUAUUUUAUUUAUUUAUUUUUAUGUGGUGAUGAGGAUGGAACCCAGCCUUGCAGGUGCUAGGCCAGCGCUCUACAGCUGAGCCACAAUCCCAGACCGAGAUUAUUUAAAUAUUCACAGAGGUUUUAUUUUAGUUCUUCUCUGGCUUUCUACUUCUACUUUAAAAAAAAAUUUUUUUUUUUGGUUCUUUUUAGUUGGACACAGUACUUUUAUUUUGUUUAUUUUUAUGUGGUGUUAAGGAUCGAACCCAGGGUCUCGAAUGUACUAGGCAAUCGCUUUACCGCUUAGCCGCAACCCCAGUCCCUCUAUUUCUACUUUUAAUUCUCAACCAUUUAGAAUUAGUUAGAUGUUGCAAGGUAAGGAUUCAGUUUUAUACCUUUUUUUUUUUUUGAGUUGUUG